This 1513-nucleotide unclassified non-coding RNA is filed under the name Hevea brasiliensis (rubber tree). The record is from RNAcentral. Lineage: Eukaryota; Viridiplantae; Streptophyta; Magnoliopsida; Malpighiales; Euphorbiaceae.
UUUGCUAGUCUUGGAGCAGGUAACAGAAUUUGUCUAAUGCGUGAAUGUAUUUGAUCAUUGACUGUUCAUUAAUUUCAUGAGAUAGAAAUCUAAUGAUAAUGAAAUAGAAAUCUGAUAGACUUCCCCAAGAGUUUCUUAUAGCUGAUUACAGAAUUUGUCUAAUGCAUAAAUAUAUUAAUGCAUUGAUUCUUUCACUAAUUCAUGAAAUCUGAUGACAAUUUUCCCUCUGAGUUGCUAAACGUAGUACAUGAGCAAGUGUUACUAAAAACCUACAUCAUUGCAAGCCCAGCCGGUCUAAGCCAUUGCGAGCCUCAACGGACCCGGGUUGGACCUUUAGGGCCUCCCCAAAAGCCCAUUUAGCAUCCUCCCUCAUUCCUUUCCACUCGUAACACUGGCCCAACAAACAAAGCGCUCUUUCUCCUUCACCACUCAGCUUCACACCCUCCUUUAAAUCGUCAAUAGCCGAGUCAACUCGCCGUCUCCGAUUCACAGCCAUCUUUAACUCGGCCCUCUUGAUCAACGCAUCCCCACGCUCUCUCCCCUCCAACGACUUCACACGCGGAGAAGACAGCGCCGACUCGAGAGCUUUCAGGGCAGAUCCCUUGUGACCCAUGAGAUCGAGAGCUAGAGCCUUGAGGAGUAGAGGCGCGGGAUCUCUGGGAGAGAGAGAGAUUGCAGUUUCGGCUUCAAGGAGUGCGUUUUUGGCUAGGCUUAGAGAUUGGGAUUUAUGAGAUGUGGAUUUGGCUUUGGCUAAGAAGUGAGUACCUUGGAUGAAGUGGCGAUUGGACUGCAAGGAGGCUCUGUUCUUGGUGCGAAGCUUGGUUAGGGCUUGUUUGGGGAAAUAUUGGAUGGCUAUGACCAUGGCAACGGCAAAUAUGAGAAUAAGCACUUGAAUUGCAGCAUCUGUGAAUGCCAUUGAUUUGGGGAGAGAGCUUCUUCUAUCCCCAGAAUAGCAGACUUGAGCAACCGGAAAGCCGAGUGGGUUGUGGCAUUUCCAGCUUUCACGUACCCAUCUGAUUUUUUAUUGGGCUGGGCUGGCUUUGGUUACCUGUAGGCCUGAUCUCAUCCUGCCCAAUGUUAGAAUUGGCAAGCCAAAAUACAUAAUACAACUUAUUUUUAAUGGGGUUAAAUUCCUAAAUGUUAGGUUCUUCGGAUCUCACAUUUGGUAAAGUUGUGUGUGUGUGAGUUAUACAGGAUCAAAGAUUCUAUUAACAGUGGUCCAAUUUUAUCUCUGACCCAUAUAUGUAUUCCCUUUCUUUAACAAAAAAAAAAAAAGGUAACCACCUGAGUGAAAAUACAAGAGAGGUGAGAAUUCACGAUGAUAGCCUUGAUUGAGGUCUGCAAGUUCAUGAGUGAGCUCAGGAGCUGGUUCUUUGGGAUCACACAUUGUGGCGAGGGCGUGCGUGUAUGAAUAUAUAGGAUUAAAAAUUGUUAAAAUUAUUAUGGUUUUAACAACGGUUGAGUCCCUAUCUCUGACCCGUGUGUAUAUUCUCUUCCUUUGACAAAAAAAAAA